GCUAGGCAUAGUGGUUUGCACCUUUAGUGCUAGUUCCUGGGGAGGCAGGGGCAGGAAGAUCGCUUGAGCCCAGGAGUUCUGGGCUGUAGCAUGCUAUGCCGAUCGGGUAUCCGUACUAAGUUCGGCAUCAAUAUGAUGACCUCCUGGGAGCAGAGGACCAUCAGGUUGCCUAAGGAGGGGUGAACUGGCCCAGAUCAGAAAAGGAGCAGGUUGGUAGUUUAAAUUGCAUUGCACUGAAGAAAUAGGUGGUGGGAUCUUGCUGGGUGUUUGAUUAGCCCUUUCUCU
Molecule: unclassified non-coding RNA, 285 nt
Organism: Cercocebus atys (sooty mangabey)
Lineage: Eukaryota; Metazoa; Chordata; Mammalia; Primates; Cercopithecidae
Rfam family: Metazoan signal recognition particle RNA
About the family: The signal recognition particle (SRP) is a universally conserved ribonucleoprotein. It is involved in the co-translational targeting of proteins to membranes.
Source: Ensembl